CCACGCCUGGAGAUGGGAGGUCCUGGAUUCAAAUUUGACAUCAGACACUCCCUAGCUGUGUUACUCUGAGAAAGUCACAACCCCAAUUGCUUGGUCCUUACUACUUGUUUUUUUUUUUUAAGGGUAUUGGCUAAGAAAGCCUUUGAGAUCCCUUCCUGCUCUGACAUUUUGCUCCCUGGUCUUUGUAGCCUACCUACCUCAGACAUCAUCAGGACCAUCAGAGUUCCCUUCAGAUGUCACAAAACCACCACCCCCUCCAUUAUAUAGGAACUUAGGAGGCUCGCUACAAUUCAGAGUUUACCACAAAGAAACCUUCUAGGAAAAACCCUCCCCAGUCGUCCCCACGCCACCGCCAUGAUGUAUUGUGUUCAGGAUCCCGGAUGUGAGGGAGGGCGGGCGCAGGGGCUCCGGCCAGAAGGAAAUGGGUCUUACGAGGGGGAGAAAGGAUCCCACCACCAUCCAUUUCCUGACAAAGGCUUUCCUGCAAGAAAGCCACUCUCAGAGGUGUGAGUAAGUUCUCUAAAUAAGUGCUGGGCUGCCUGUUUUAACCUUCACACUUCUCAGCGGGCUUCCUGUUUAUCCUAGACUUCAUCUCAUGCAAGACUAUCCUGCAGUGUCCUGGAUGACUGACAUGCCAUGCCCUGUGAUGGGGAUGAUUUGGGACUUCCUGGGCAGUGCCCACAACAACGGACGUGGUAGGCCUUUGGCAGGAGCAAUAAUUCAUAUUUUGGCCAGGGUGAUUUUGAUCGCUUGGCCAAGGCCUGGGCUCCUCCCAGAGCCAGGAGCCCUCGGGGAACUGCCCCAGCUGCAUUCCAAGUGGCAGCCUUUGUGCAAUGGGUUCCCAGGGUGAGGGAGGGUUAGGCUCCAAAAGGGGAGGCUCCAGGAGGCCCCCUGGGAGUCCAGUCCUUUGUGGCAGGAGAGGCAGCAAGAAGCUAAACUGCCUCAAGCAUUUCCUUCCUGACCUCCCCAGGAAUUAAGGUGGCAGCCUAUGAAAGCCCUUGCUCAGCCCCCAUAGGGGUUUGGUCCAAAGUCUAGGCUUUGAAAAUCUUAAUGGCACAUCAUUGAGGGACAGGGAGAAGCAAGGUUUGAGAGGGAAUGUGGAAAUUAAAUUGUUUUCCACACCCCUCUAACCCAGGUUUACCAAUAUGCUCUGAGCUUGAUUAACUUCAAAAAACAUUUGCUAAGGCCAAGGGCCUGCCUCAGGUGAAACUGUGCUGGUUGUAGGUGAUCUAGAGAGCCUAGGACUGGGUCCUCACUCCCAAGUCACUUACAGUUGGACAGGGAAGCUAAGACUGGGAUAGGCACAGCUCUGAAACAAGACAGAACGACCCACGCUAGAGGACAGGGACAAUGAGGAACACUGGUAGGACGCAGGAAGGGGAUGUCCCUUCCAGCUGGGGAUCAGGAAAGGUUUUAUGGAAGAGAUAGCAUUUGAGUAGGAGUAUGAAGAAUCACAGGAUGCAAAAAGAGAUAGAGAGGGAGGGAGGUGCACAGGAUCUCUUAGAUAUCAUAAUUUCUUCCAUGAAAUGUCAUGUCCCAGAUCCAUCUUGUGCCAGUGGUGGCUUGAAGAAAAUCACUUUGCUUUGAGCCUCAGUUUCUCCAUCUGUAAAAGGUUCUUCCCCCCACCCCCAUAAAAGGGGCUGAAUAACACUUGUACUGCCUACCUCUCAGAAAUAGGAGAAAAGAGCUUGCUAAAUUGAAGUACUGCGCAAUAUAAGCUACUCUUUGGGGUUGGAACAGGACUUUUGAUUUCAUUCAUAAAAGAAAACUUUAGAUGAUGAGGCUCUCUCUACCACUGCAGGGCUAGACUUGUGCUGCAAUGUAGAAUGUCGUCUGGGCCACUGAGAGGAGAAGGGGCAUGCCCGGGGUCACAUAAGCCAGGCUGGGUCUGAGGCAGGACCUGAAUCCAAAACUCUGAGAGUCUGGCUCUCUCUCUACUCUGCCAAGCUGCUUCUUUGGCAGGCUGGGCUUUAAUUAUUUAUAUCUAUGUAGUAUUUGUGUUUUAUCCUUGUGUUUAAAUACCAAAUAAAACUAGCAUUUCCCAUACAUAUUUUAGAACAGAAGGAGGGGAUUGCCCAUAAAGAUUUUCUUCAUAAUAAAUUCAUAUCACAACUUUUUUGCUGUCUUGCUUAUCUGAUUCUUUCUGUCCUUCCUUCUCUUUUGCUCUCCUCUGUUCUUUCUGCUUCUUUCUCUUCCUAUAGUCUCUCUCCUUGCACCCCUUUCCACCCCCCAGUCUUACUCAAAUACAUUUCUUGGGCAAGUUUUUAUACCUCAUUCUUUUCCUCUGUAAAAUGAAGUUUCCCCACUCCCACCCCCAUUACUCUGGACACUGCCCAGAAUUGGAUGGUUUCUAAGACUUCUUCUAAUUUUAACAUUCUAGGACUCUGAUGCCAGAUGACUUGUUUGUAAAUCAAGGCAUGGCUAGAAUCCUUUAAAAAGAUGACUAGAGGUGAUCUUGUUUUCCAUGGGAUAUCAUUGAUCCAAGGUGAAGACAGUUUGGAAAAAUCUCUCUCCCUAAGAAGUACUGGGUUUCCAAAGGGGUUCAGCAACCUCCAGAGUUGCCUUGAUGGAAGAGCAGGAUUCUUUAUCUGUGCAGCAUUUUCACUCAGGACUUCUCCAUCUGGCUAUCUCCUUUCCAGAAUUUUUAUAUAUUUUUAUUUUUACCAAUUACAUGUAAUAAUAAAUUUCCACACAACUUUUCCUAAAUACAUGGUUGAAUUUAUCUACCUCCUUCCAGAAUUUUUAGCUAGUCUAGUUUUUCAUGGAAUGAGACUAGAUUAAAGGCACUAAAUACCCAAAGAGAGAAAAAUGGAAAGUUGAAAAGGUAAAGUGUGUAGUGCUCAGAACCUUAAACUCUCUGCUGACUACAGGCUCUUGCUCCUAGUUUUUUCCUAGCUGCUGAUUUCCAGUGUGCUGCUCUCCCAUUAUGCUGAUUUUGGGGCAAAUAAUAAGUAUUUAAUAAAUAACAUGGAUUUAUCCCAUUCCAUCCUCUCCUCCCACCAAAGUAAUGUCAAUUUGUCUGGCUACCUUGGACAGAGCUUCUGAUGAUCCUGGCCUUCUAUAAGUUCCUGGCUGAAAAAAGGACACUAUCAUUCAGAAACCUUUUUGUUGUGAAGAGUCUAGGGAAAUAGAAAGAGAAUUAGGGAGGAGCAAUCAGGGAAGGCUAAAUGCAACAGGUGGUGCUGGAACUUAUUCCUGAAAGAAGAGGAUUUCAACAGGCAGAGACAAGGAAUGAGGCAUGGCCUACUUAUGUUCCUAUGGACAGACGACAAUGGGAUGAGAUCCAGGAACAGUUAGUGGUUUAGUUUGGCUGAAAUACAGAGUACAUGAGUAUGCAGAGAGGUGCAAUGUGAAAUAAAACUGGGAACAGAUUUUGGAACCCCUUAAAUGUUAAGAUAAGGAGUUUGGGGACCAACCAUGACUCCAGGGGGCUGCUGAUCAAGCAUGUUACUCUUCUGAUAGACAUGUGAGGGACCCAACCUACAGAAUGAGAUGUGUAGUUCUGAUAUGGCCAACAUAGAAGUUUGGUUGGCUUGACUAUACAUAUUAAUUAUAGGGGUUUUAUUUUUCUUUCCUUUCCAUUGGAGAAGGGGAUAGAGAGGUGGUAGGAAGAGAUGCUUGUUGACUCAAAAUAUUGGCAAUAGGAAGCGACAAUAAGUUUUUUGAUUGGAAGAAUGAAAUAUUUACAUCUUUGCCUAUGGAAGGUUAGUUUAGCAGCCGUGUAAAAAUUCACUAGGCAAAGGGAAAAGACUAGAAGCAAAGAGAGUGAAUAGAAAGCAAUUAAAAUAGUCCAUCUGAUGUGGGCCUGAACUAUGGUGGUAGCAAUGUGAGGAUAGAGGACAAUGUGAGAGAAAUCAUGGACACAAAAUUAGCAGAACUUGGAAACUGACUGGAUAUGGUGGUAGAUGAACGAAGACAGUUCAGAAUUGUCCCAAUGUUAUAUUUAUGUUAUGUGGUGCAGUGAAAGACAUAUGACUACCAACUACAUAAUAAAUAUUAAGAGAACAUGGAAUUGUAGAGUGAGUGAAUAUAAGUGGGUGAAUGAUGAAAAAGUAAAUUUUGAAAGUAUUUAUUAAUCAGUUACUAUGUGCCAAGUACUGUGCCAUGUACAAAGGAUACAGAAACAAAAAUUUGGGAAGUUCUUAUCCUCAAAGACCUUAUAAUCUAAUGAGAAGAGAUAAGACACUGGUCAGGAAGGUAUGUUUUGGUUUGGACAGUUACUUCUUGUUGAGUUUAGUCAAAGAAUAGAUUGGCACAUAUUUUCCAGGAUCAAUGGCAGUAUUGAUUUUAUUAUGAUUAUAGAGCCAAAAAUUGAGAUUUGGGGAAGGAUGAUUGGUGAGAAGUUGGCCAAAGGGCAGAGAAAGAGUUCUAGCAGAAGGAUUGAAUCCUCCAGGGACUUUAGUGUGACAACUGCAAAAUAGCUAGGAAUAAACCACUGAAGAUGAGUUUUCAUGGGUGAGGGUAGAGGGGGAUUCUGAAGACUGGAUUUGGCAAAGAGGUGAAGGGAAAUUGAGAUCCAAAAAAGACCUAUUUUACAGUGUUUUACUAGAAAAGUCUGUGACAAGGAAAUCACUUUAAAAGACUGAUAUAUAUUAAUUUAAGGUCGCCAAGGAAUUCAGCUAUGUAAUUCCUAAAUGAAAACUCAAGUCAGCAGUCAACCUUUUAUGGAGUUUAAUUACAAACAGGAGGAAGAAAGGUAUGAGAGAGAGAGAGAGAGAGAGAGAGAGAGAGAGAGAGAGAGAGAGAGAGAGAGAGAGAAAGAGAGAGA
Monodelphis domestica (gray short-tailed opossum) is the source of this 4768-nucleotide non-coding RNA. The record is from RefSeq and is a predicted model, not a curated record. NCBI's taxonomy places the organism in Eukaryota, Metazoa, Chordata, Mammalia, Didelphimorphia, Didelphidae.